Molecule: microRNA precursor, 206 nt
Organism: Oryza rufipogon (brownbeard rice)
Lineage: Eukaryota; Viridiplantae; Streptophyta; Magnoliopsida; Poales; Poaceae
Rfam family: MIR812 microRNA precursor family
Source: Rfam
CCUCCAUCCCAAAAUAAGUAUUCAUGUCCAACAUUUGAUUGUUUAUCUUAUAUGAAUUUUUUUAUGAUUAGUAUUUUUAUUGUUAUUAGACGAUAAAACAUAAAUAGUACUUUAAGUGUGCCUAAUUUUUUUAAUUUUUUUUAUAAAUUUUUCGAAUAAAACGGACAAUUAAAUGUUAGACACGGAUAUCCACGGUUGCACUUAUU